GGCGGCGUGCUUAACACAUGCAAGUCGAGCGGAAAGGCCCUUCGGGGGUACUCGAGCGGCGAACGGGUGAGUAACACGUGAGCAACCUGCCCCUGACUCUGGGAUAAGCCCGGGAAACUGGGUCUAAUACCGGAUACGACCGCCCCCGGCAUCGGGUGGUGGUGGAAAGUUUUUUCGGUUGGGGAUGGGCUCGCGGCCUAUCAGCUUGUUGGUGGGGUAGUGGCCUACCAAGGCGACGACGGGUAGCCGGCCUGAGAGGGCGACCGGCCACACUGGGACUGAGACACGGCCCAGACUCCUACGGGAGGCAGCAGUGGGGAAUAUUGCGCAAUGGGCGGAAGCCUGACGCAGCGACGCCGCGUGGGGGAUGACGGCCUUCGGGUUGUAAACCUCUUUCAGCAGGGACGAAGUUGACGUGUACCUGCAGAAGAAGCGCCGGCUAACUACGUGCCAGCAGCCGCGGUAAUACGUAGGGCGCAAGCGUUGUCCGGAAUUAUUGGGCGUAAAGAGCUCGUAGGUGGCUGGUCGCGUCUGCCGUGAAAGCCCGCAGCUUAACUGCGGGUCUGCGGUGGAUACGGGCCGGCUAGAGGUAGGUAGGGGCAAGUGGAAUUCCUGGUGUAGCGGUGAAAUGCGCAGAUAUCAGGAGGAACACCGGUGGCGAAGGCGGCUUGCUGGGCCUUACCUGACGCUGAGGAGCGAAAGCGUGGGGAGCGAACAGGAUUAGAUACCCUGGUAGUCCACGCUGUAAACGUUGGGCGCUAGGUGUGGGGAUCUUCCACGAUCUCCGUGCCGGAGCUAACGCAUUAAGCGCCCCGCCUGGGGAGUACGGCCGC
Molecule: ribosomal RNA, 833 nt
Filed under: Nonomuraea sp. IM-2156
Lineage: Bacteria; Bacillati; Actinomycetota; Actinomycetes; Streptosporangiales; Streptosporangiaceae
Description: bacterial SSU rRNA
Rfam family: Bacterial small subunit ribosomal RNA
Source: RNAcentral